RNAcentral lists this ribosomal RNA (164 nucleotides) under uncultured bacterium. RNAcentral describes it as "partial 16S rRNA". It matches the Rfam family "Bacterial small subunit ribosomal RNA", at positions 355 to 511 of the family's 1533-position model. The record is from RNAcentral.
UAGGGAAUCUUCCACAAUGGACGCAAGUCUGAUGGAGCAACGCCGCGUGUGUGAUGAAGGGUUUCGGCUCGUAAAACACUGUUGUAAGAGAAGAAUGACAUUGAGAGUAACUGUUCAAUGUGUGACGGUAUCUUACCAGAAAGGAACGGCUAAAUACGUGCCAC